CCUACGGGCUGCACCAGUGGGGAAUAUUGCACAAUGGGCGCAAGCCUGAUGCAGCCAUGCCGCGUGUGUGAAGAAGGCCUUCGGGUUGUAAAGCACUUUCAGCGGGGAGGAAGGCGAUAAGGUUAAUAACCUUGUCGAUUGACGUUACCCGCAGAAGAAGCACCGGCUAACUCCGUGCCAGCAGCCGCGGUAAUACGGAGGGUGCAAGCGUUAAUCGGAAUUACUGGGCGUAAAGCGCACGCAGGCGGUCUGUCAAGUCGGAUGUGAAAUCCCCGGGCUCAACCUGGGAACUGCAUCUGAUACUGGCAAGCUUGAGUCUCGUAGAGGGGGGUAGAAUUCCAGGUGUAGCGGUGAAAUGCGUAGAGAUCUGGAGGAAUACCGGUGGCGAAGGCGGCCCCCUGGACGAAGACUGACGCUCAGGUGCGAAAGCGUGGGGAGCAAACAGGAUUAGAUACCCCCGUAGUC
Molecule: ribosomal RNA, 465 nt
Filed under: uncultured bacterium
Lineage: Bacteria
Description: bacterial SSU rRNA
Rfam family: Bacterial small subunit ribosomal RNA
Source: RNAcentral